CCUCUCCUACGGGGCGCAGCAGUGAGGAAUAUUGGUCAAUGGGCUUACGCCUGAACCAGCCACGUCGCGUGAGGGAAGACUGCCCUAUGGGUUGUAAACCUCUUUUGUCAGGGAGCAACGCCGGCUACGUGUAGCCGGACUGAGAGUACCUGAAGAAAAAGCAUCGGCUAACUCCGUGCCAGCAGCCGCGGUAAUACGGAGGAUGCGAGCGUUAUCCGGAUUUAUUGGGUUUAAAGGGUGGGUAGGCGGAAUGCCAAG
RNAcentral lists this ribosomal RNA (258 nucleotides) under uncultured bacterium. RNAcentral's name for it is "partial 16S ribosomal RNA". It matches the Rfam family "Bacterial small subunit ribosomal RNA", at positions 333 to 587 of the family's 1533-position model. The record is from RNAcentral.